Molecule: ribosomal RNA, 446 nt
Filed under: uncultured bacterium
Lineage: Bacteria
Description: partial 16S ribosomal RNA
Rfam family: Bacterial small subunit ribosomal RNA
Source: RNAcentral
CCUACGGGUGGCAGCAGUCGAGAAUCAUUCACAAUGGGGGAAACCCUGAUGGUGCGACGCCGCGUGGGGGAAUGAAGGUCUUCGGAUUGUAAACCCCUGUCAUGUGGGAGCAAAUUAAAAAGAUAGUACCACAAGAGGAAGAGACGGCUAACUCUGUGCCAGCAGCCGCGGUAAUACAGAGGUCUCAAGCGUUGUUCGGAAUCACUGGGCGUAAGGCGUGCGUAGGCUGUUUCGUAAGUCGUGUGUGAAAGGCGCGGGCUCAACCCGCGGACGGCACAUGAUACUGCGAGACUAGAGUAAUGGAGGGGGAACCGGAAUUCUCGGUGUAGCAGGGAAAUGCGUAGAUAUCGAGAGGAACACUCGUGGCGAAGGCGGGUUCCUGGACAUUAACUGACGCUGAGGCACGAAGGCCAGGGGAGCGAAAGGGAUUAGAUACCCCUGUAGUC